UCCUUUAUUUUAUUCACUAUGUUAAUUUGCCAAGCAUUACUUGAUUACAUUCAGCAGUGCUGCUGCAGUGCUGGCUUGCUGAUCUCUGUGGUUCUCUAGCUUUCGGAGAUGCCGAUGGGUGCGCUGUGCUGUUCCAGUGCCCACUAUCCACUUUGGGAUAGCUCUGAGAGUAUCCACCAGAGCGGCAGGCUCAGGGGAACAGAGACGCUGUUCUGGUCAGAACUACACAGCUGGAUUUAUGUUCAAAACAUAACAUUAGAAAAAGAACUUGAUCGGUGGUGGGUUGAGACCCACUGAUGUCUGUCAGACAUGCUGGCUGGGCAGAAGGACGUAGCUCCCUGGGCAGAAAUCCUGCUGGGUGUCUCAGGGGUCCUUUGGGAAGCUCCUGUCCCUUGUUCUAUCAGUGUCCACAGGUGCUCUCUGUAAUACAGUGACGCAGUGGUAAGAAUUAAUGCAGAUCUGCACAUGUCAGUUUGAGGGUUAUUCCUUUGUUGCUCGCUGUCUCUGAAGUGCAGUCCCAACCUGCUGACAACCGUCCUUGUUCUUGACUGUCACAGAUCGACUUCCUGAAUUCAGUGAUAGUAGAUCUGCAAAGGAGAAACGAAGAAUUGAACUUGAAAAUACAAAGAAUGUGUGAAGCAGCCCUCAAUGGCAACGAAGAGGAGAUAAAUAACUAUGACAGUGAGGAAGAAAGCUUGUCAAAGAAGAAGCCUCGUCUCUUCUGUGACAUCUGCGGCUGCUUUGAUCUUCACGACACUGAAGACUGUCCGACCCAGGCACAGAUGCUGGAGGAGCCACCCCACUCGGCUUACCAUGGCAGCAGGAGAGAGGAACGCCCCUAUUGUGAUACCUGCGAGAUGUUUGGGCACUGGACGGCCGACUGCAAUGAUGAUGAGACCUUCUAAUGCCACACGUGGCCAGGAGGACACUGUGUGCCCCGAUCAGACAAUUUAUACCACCAGCAUUUGUCUGUGCUGAAUGUCAGGAAAAGGGACAACAUUUCUUGGCCCCCUUGCUCCCAUUCCUCUUGCCCAUCCACUCCAGAAUCAGUAAAUUGAUAAAUAUUUUGCUCCUCCACUAAUAAAUACCCUAUCUCCUUUUAAUAAACUGAAGUGAAAUAUAAAUACAUGAUUUAACAAAUGACUUUAUGCUGUUUCUUCCCAGGUUCUGGGUUUGUCCCUACUCUUUAACAAGAAAUGCCCCCAUGCUGUUGUGUCUGUCGAUGGAAAAACAUGUAUAGGAAUGAAGCAAUAUAGCUAUAUUAAAGCUUAUUUAAAUACCUUAAAAUUAUGCUGUUAAUUUUCAUAUUUGCACUAAACCAUUUUAAGGCUGAAUUUGUACAUUUAGAUUUUUAAGCUUUUUUUUGACACUGGACUGGGUUGAAAAAUAUUUCAUCCUUUAUUUUAAUUUCCUCGUUUGGUUGCGAUUGAUUUUGUUCAGCAAACAUGAGCUCUGGGUUGUGGUUUGAUGUCGGUGUGAAACGUGAACUCACAGGCAGGUAAGAAGGGGAGCUGCUGCGGGGGGUGGGGGUGGGGUAGAAAUCCGGGUGUUGUGCAUACCUAAAACUGUUUGUGGGACAUCCCGGUUUUUUUUCAUUCUUUCCGCUUCUAUAUAGUGUGUGUGUAUAUAUGCAUAUAUAUAUUAAAGUUCUAUUUUGGAAAAAAAAAAAAAAAGGUGUGUGUUCUUCCAUGCGCUUGGGUCCCGUUGGGAAUGUUGCCCUGUGGCUGCAGGGUAAGGAGAUGGAUUAACAGGGUGGGGGGACGCUCAGGCCGCCAGGGGGCGCUGUGGCGGGGGGCGGGGUGGGCGGGUCACGUGGCGGGGGUC
This 1824-nucleotide long non-coding RNA is filed under the name Falco tinnunculus (common kestrel). RNAcentral's name for it is "lncRNA (ENSFTIG00000003053.1)". Lineage: Eukaryota; Metazoa; Chordata; Aves; Falconiformes; Falconidae. The record is from RNAcentral.